This 771-nucleotide ribosomal RNA is filed under the name Bacillus licheniformis. Its description in RNAcentral is "bacterial SSU rRNA". It matches the Rfam family "Bacterial small subunit ribosomal RNA", at positions 85 to 839 of the family's 1533-position model. Lineage: Bacteria; Bacillati; Bacillota; Bacilli; Caryophanales; Bacillaceae. The record is from RNAcentral.
CCUUAGGUCAGCGGCGGACGGGUGAGUAACACGUGGGUAACCUGCCUGUAAGACUGGGAUAACUCCGGGAAACCGGGGCUAAUACCGGAUGCUUGAUUGAACCGCAUGGUUCAAUCAUAAAAGGUGGCUUUUAGCUACCACUUACAGAUGGACCCGCGGCGCAUUAGCUAGUUGGUGAGGUAACGGCUCACCAAGGCGACGAUGCGUAGCCGACCUGAGAGGGUGAUCGGCCACACUGGGACUGAGACACGGCCCAGACUCCUACGGGAGGCAGCAGUAGGGAAUCUUCCGCAAUGGACGAAAGUCUGACGGAGCAACGCCGCGUGAGUGAUGAAGGUUUUCGGAUCGUAAAACUCUGUUGUUAGGGAAGAACAAGUACCGUUCGAAUAGGGCGGUACCUUGACGGUACCUAACCAGAAAGCCACGGCUAACUACGUGCCAGCAGCCGCGGUAAUACGUAGGUGGCAAGCGUUGUCCGGAAUUAUUGGGCGUAAAGCGCGCGCAGGCGGUUUCUUAAGUCUGAUGUGAAAGCCCCCGGCUCAACCGGGGAGGGUCAUUGGAAACUGGGGAACUUGAGUGCAGAAGAGGAGAGUGGAAUUCCACGUGUAGCGGUGAAAUGCGUAGAGAUGUGGAGGAACACCAGUGGCGAAGGCGACUCUCUGGUCUGUAACUGACGCUGAGGCGCGAAAGCGUGGGGAGCGAACAGGAUUAGAUACCCUGGUAGUCCACGCCGUAAACGAUGAGUGCUAAGUGUUAGAGGGUUUCCGCCCU